Molecule: transfer RNA, 82 nt
Filed under: Bacteroidota bacterium
Lineage: Bacteria; Pseudomonadati; Bacteroidota
Also listed under: 2 other names
Description: tRNA-Leu
Rfam family: tRNA
About the family: Transfer RNA (tRNA) molecules are approximately 80 nucleotides in length. Their secondary structure includes four short double-helical elements and three loops (D, anti-codon, and T loops). Further hydrogen bonds mediate the characteristic L-shaped molecular structure. tRNAs have two regions of fundamental functional importance: the anti-codon, which is responsible for specific mRNA codon recognition, and the 3' end, to which the tRNAs corresponding amino acid is attached (by aminoacyl-tRNA synthetases). tRNAs cope with the degeneracy of the genetic code in two manners: having more than one tRNA (with a specific anti-codon) for a particular amino acid; and 'wobble' base-pairing, i.e. permitting non-standard base-pairing at the 3rd anti-codon position.
Source: RNAcentral
GCGGAUGUGGCGGAAUUGGUAGACGCUCCAGACUUAGGAUCUGGUGCCGAAAGGCGUGGGGGUUCGAGUCCCUUCAUCCGCA